Cebus imitator (Panamanian white-faced capuchin) is the source of this 1447-nucleotide RNA transcript. It is a transcript of the gene named heterogeneous nuclear ribonucleoproteins C1/C2-like, with no coding region annotated. The record is from RefSeq and is a predicted model, not a curated record. Lineage: Eukaryota; Metazoa; Chordata; Mammalia; Primates; Cebidae. The transcript has a single exon.
UGACUUCGGGCAGCAGUCAGCUUCUCCACAUAUAACCUGGGAGUAGGAGACUCAGAAUCAAAUCUCUUCUCCCUCCUCCCUCCUGGACAGCAAGGUGAACCCCAUCCCUACUCACUGGAGCUCAGCUUUGAUUUUUAACCUCCCUUCCCCACCCUUCCAGAACACACACAGUCCCAUUCCAAAAUUGAUUUUAUAAAGACAUUUUAAACAUAAUGAUGCAACUUGGUGUGCCCUACGUGGCAAAUGUACAGUGAGGUUUAUUUUGAUCUUCAGCUACAUUUUCGGCUUUGUGAGAAAACUUAUCAUCAAACACAAUGGUCAGCAACGUUACCAAGAAGACAGAUACUCGCUCCAUGAACUCUUGUGUGUUCAUUGGGAAUCUCAACACUCUUGGGGUCAAGAAAUCUGAUGUGGAGGCAAUCUUUUCAAAGUAUGGCAAAAUUGUGGGCUGCUCCGUUCAUAAGGGCUUUGCCUUCAUUCAAUAUGUUAACAAGAGAAAUGCCCGGGCUGCCGUAGCAGGAGAGGAUGGCAGAAUGAUUUCUGGCCAGGUUUUAGAUAUUAACCCGGCUGCAGAUCCAAAAGUGAACCAAGGAAAAGCAGGUGUGAAACCCUCUGCAGCAGAGAUGUACGGCUCCUCUUUUGACUUGGACUAUGACUUUCAAUGGGAUUAUUAUGAUAGGAUGUACAUUACCCAGCACGUGUACCUCCUCCUCCUAUUGCUUGGGCUGUCGUGCCCUUGAAACGUCAGCAUGUAUCAGGAAACACCCCACGAAGGGGCAAAAGUGGCUUCAAUUCAAAGAGUGGACAGCGGGAUCUUCCAAGUCUGGAAAGUUGAAAGGAGAUGACCUUCAGGCCAUUAAGAAGGAGCUGACCCAGAUAAAACAAAAAGUGGAUUCUCUUCUGGAAAACCUGGAAAAAACUGAAAAGCAAUAGAGCAAACAAGCAGUAGAGACGAAGAAUGAUAAGUGAGAAGAGGAGCAGAGCAGCAGCUCCGUGAAGAAAGAUGAGACUAAUGUGAAGAUGGAGUCUGAGAGGGGUGCAGAUGACUUUGCUGAGGAGAGGGACCUACUGGAUGAUGAUGAUAAUGAAGAUGGGGGAUGACCAGCUGGAGUUGAUCAAGGAUGAUGAAAAAGACACUGAGGAAGGAGAGGAUGACUCUUAAGUACAUAGUGGGGUUUAGAAAUCUUAUCCCAUUACUUCUUUACCUAGGCGCUUGUCUAAGGUCAAAUUUUUCACCAGAUCCUCUCCCCUAGUAUCUUCAGCACAUGCUCACUGUCCUCCCCAUCCUUGUCCUUCCCAUGUUAAUUAAUUCAUAUUUCCCUGCACCUCGUCCCAUUUUCACUUCCUUUGACAUUCCUAGUAGUUUUGUUAAGUCUUACCCUGUAAUUUUUGCUUUUAAUUUUGAUACCUCUUUAUGACUUAACAAUAAAAAGGAUGUAUGGUUUUU